CUAUGAUGUAGUACAUGUGUAUACAUGUGCUACACAACUUGUAUUACACCUACUAUACAACUCAUAUACAUGUGCUAGCUAUGAUGUAGUACAUGUGUAUACAUGUGCUAGACAACUUGUAUGUCAACACUCCCCCUCAAGUUGGAGCAUAUAUAUUGAUCAUGCCCAACUUGUUACAGAUAUAUUCAACUCGAGCUCCAUUCAAAGCUUUUGUGAAAAUGUCUCCCAAUUGAUCUCCAGUUCUAACAUGACCUGUAGAGAUGAGCUUUUGUUGAAUCUUUUCACGAACAAAGUGACAAUCUAUUUCAAUGUGCUUAGUCCUUUCGUGAAAUACAGGA
This 338-nucleotide long non-coding RNA is filed under the name Nicotiana tabacum (common tobacco). RNAcentral describes it as "long non-coding RNA (NTAB_LNC017541)". The record is from RNAcentral. Lineage: Eukaryota; Viridiplantae; Streptophyta; Magnoliopsida; Solanales; Solanaceae.